Molecule: small nucleolar RNA, 226 nt
Filed under: Medicago truncatula (barrel medic)
Lineage: Eukaryota; Viridiplantae; Streptophyta; Magnoliopsida; Fabales; Fabaceae
Description: snoRNA gene42059
Rfam family: Plant small nucleolar RNA U3
About the family: Small nucleolar RNAs (snoRNAs) are involved in the processing and modification of rRNA in the nucleolus. There are two main classes of snoRNAs: the box C/D class, and the box H/ACA class. U3 snoRNA is a member of the box C/D class.
Source: Rfam by way of RNAcentral
ACGACCUUACUUGAACAGGAUCUGUUCUAUAGGAUCGUACUACUGUGUCCUUGAUUUCUAAGGAGACAGGAACAUAAAUCUGGAUGAGGAUUUGUGACCGUGUGAUCAGAGCGUGAUUAACGGUUCUAUGGUGAGACCUACGGGAAUCAUCAUAAGUUGACUGUAGAUGAUCGUUCUCAGCCAGCCCAGUCUGGUUGGGGUGGUCACACGGUAAUCUUGACAGAUU